This 946-nucleotide ribosomal RNA is filed under the name uncultured Verrucomicrobiales bacterium. Its description in RNAcentral is "bacterial SSU rRNA". It matches the Rfam family "Bacterial small subunit ribosomal RNA", at positions 56 to 976 of the family's 1533-position model. The record is from RNAcentral. Lineage: Bacteria; Pseudomonadati; Verrucomicrobiota; Verrucomicrobiia; Verrucomicrobiales.
UGCAAGUCGAGCGGGACACUACGGGUAGCAAUAUUCGGAGUGUUCGGCGGCGCAAGGGUGCGUAACACGUGGGCAAUCUGCCGUGAAGCCCGGAAUAACCUCGAGAAAUCGAAGCUAAUACCGGAUGUGAAUUUUGGAGGACAUCCUCUGAAAUUUAAAGCUGGGGAUCGUAAGACCUGGCACUUCACGAUGAGCCCGCGGCCUAUCAGCUAGUUGGUGAGGUAACGGCUCACCAAGGCUAAGACGGGUAGCUGGUCUGAGAGGACGACCAGCCACACUGGAACUGAGACACGGUCCAGACACCUACGGGUGGCAGCAGUCGAGAAUUUUUCACAAUGGGCGAAAGCCUGAUGGAGCGACGCCGCGUGGGGGAUGAAUGGCUUCGGCCCGUAAACCCCUGUCAUUUGCGAACAAACCUUUCCACUUAAUACGUGGAGAGCUGAUUGUAGCGAAAGAGGAAGGGACGGCUAACUCUGUGCCAGCAGCCGCGGUAAUACAGAGGUCCCAAGCGUUGUUCGGAUUCACUGGGCGUAAAGGGUGCGUAGGCGGUUGGGUAAGUCUGACGUGAAAUCUCCGGGCCUAACCCGGAAACUGCGUCGGAUACUAUCCAGCUAGAGGAUCGGAGGGGAGACUGGAAUUCUCGGUGUAGCAGUGAAAUGCGUAGAUAUCGAGAGGAACACCUGUGGCGAAGGCGAGUCUCUGGACGGUUCCUGACGCUGAGGCACGAAAGCCAGGGGAGCAAACGGGAUUAGAUACCCCGGGUAGUCCUGGCCCUAAACGGUGCACGUUUGCUGUAAGAGGAAUCGACCCCUUUUGUGGCGAAGCUAACGCGUUAAACGUGCCGCCUGGGAAGUACGGCCGCAAGUUAAAACUCAAAGAAAUUGACGGGGGCCUGCACAAGCGGUGGAGUAUGUGGCUUAAUUCGAUGCAACGCGAAGAACUACUG